This is an RNA transcript of Cavia porcellus (domestic guinea pig), 4795 nucleotides long. RefSeq lists it as uncharacterized. The record is from RefSeq and is a predicted model, not a curated record. The transcript has 3 exons. Lineage: Eukaryota; Metazoa; Chordata; Mammalia; Rodentia; Caviidae.
AGUGUACUAAACGGAAUGAAAGUAAGAGACCAAGGCCUUGACAAAAACCCUUACCGAGCCGAGGAUCUUCCAAACGAUAAGGUCCGGAACCCAAGGGAAACUAACUGGCCUGCAAAGCAGACGAUGGGACUUCAGCUGGGAAGCGGGACUGGAGGAAACCGAGAGGAUGCACCCCGGGGCUCCGAAACGCACCGCUCAGCCCCUUUUCCCGUUCAACAGGCCUCCCCCAGCCUCGAGUGCUCUUCCAACGGCCUGACUCCCUUCUUGCUGGACAGAGAGCAGAAACAGAAGUUCCUUGGAGUCCGGUCUCGGCGCAAAAUUGUCUGCGCCCAGCCCCAGCAUGCUCCGCGGCUCUCGGGGGCCCGCCCCUUCCGGAGGCCUCCGCGGCGCGGCUCGGGCCGCGCCUGCCCUCGCUGGGGCGCGGGAGCCUGCGGCUGUCGCAACAGUGGGUUUCCACGAGCCCUCGGAGAUCGGACAGACCUUCUAGUGUGGGGAUAUGUAAAGCUUAAUUCCAGACGGAAUAUUGUCACCCGAUCUAAAAUCUCCCUCCCUAUGGGAGUCUCUGGCUGCUGUCAUCCCGGGCCUUUGCAACUUGGAAGACACAAACAAGAAAGUGAAAGUGAAGCAAGCAACAAUGUGAAGCAAAUCAGGGUAGUGUAUUGUGUUGUUCAUUGUCUUGCGUUGAGUCGCGAGUCUUCCACAUUUUUUUGUUUGUGUACCAGGGAUCAAACUCACAACCUUGUGCUUGUCAGGCAGGUGCUCACACUGCUGAGCUAAAUCCCCACCCCUCUUCCACAUUGAUUUCAUAGUAAUUAUCUAAAAUUUAUAUCUCAUGAUUUACUUUCUGGCUUAAAAUCCUAUAAGGCCUUUAUUUUAGCUUUAUUUAAUAAAUUCAGUGAUGAAUUUAAGAGUUCAGCCAGGAGCAGUUCCAAAAGGCAUAAAUUUUAAGAAGUUUAUGAUGCACUAUCCCCUGGUGACAUAUGGGAGGAUGAAUAGGUGCUAUCUAAAAGAAAUUGGGCAGAAGGGAAAAUUACAGAGUUGAUGGGGCUGGGGAUUUAGCUCAGCAAUAUAAGCACCUGUCUUGCAAGCAGGCGGUCGUGAGUUCGAUCCCCGGUACCAAUAAAAAUGAAAGACCAAAAAAAAAAAAAAAAAAAUUUACAGUUAACCAAACCCCAUGAAAUAGUGUAUAAUACUGGGAGAUGUUCAUAAGACAUGCCUGAGUGGGAUUUAGGAUCUUCUCUCAGAAAAAUAAGCAAUGCUACACACCAACUGUUCUGUAUUUAAAAAUAUGACCUUCAAGUAAAAAUAACACCAUUGAGAGUUUUAAGCGGUAUCUUAAUUUCAUCACUGGGGCCAAGUGCUCAGCACUUAGUUCGCAGUUAUAGUCCCUGGCCACCUGGCUCCAAGGCAGGAAGAGCAGGUGGGUCUGGCAGAAGCAGCAAAGUGAAAAGGGAGGAUCCAGGGAGGGAGACAUACCCUCCCAGGUCACACUCUCAGAAACCUCCUGUACUUGCCCCCCUGCUUAACAGCACAUUGAGCUCUGAACCAAUGGUUUAAUCAUUUUCCAAAAGCCCCACCUCUGAAUGAGUCCUUUAGGGGGACUCUGUAGCUCUAAACCAUAACAAGCAGUAAAAUAGUAAGAUUAGAUAUUUAAUUUAGAAUAAUCCAUCCUACCAACAGUGGAAAGGAUAGAAUUAAGUACAGAUUAGAAAUCAAAAACUCAGGGCUGGGGAUUUAGCUCAGCGGCAUAAGCACCUGCCUUGCAAGCGUGUGGUCGUGAGUUCAAUCCCCAGUACUGAUAAAAACAAACCAACCAACAAACAAACAAAACCAAAAAGAAAUCAAAAACUCAAUUGGUAAUCUAUUUAAGCAGUUAGGAUGUUGUAGGAAUCUAAGGGUGGGUCUGGCUAUGGAAAUGGAGAGAGAGUAAGGUCUUGAGUAUGUACGUGUUGACUGGGGGAGGAAAUAGAUGAGAGGGGUUUCAGUCAGGCAAUUGGAUCGAUAGUAGUACAACUUUCUGAGUUAAGGAACACAGGUUUUAUUGAAAAAGAUUAUAGUUUUUGACAUGUUGAAUUUUGAGGUGACUAAUAUCCAAGUGGCAAUAUCCACUGGGACGUUCAGUAUGUUCUGGAAGAUUUCUGAGAUACAUAUGUAGAUGUGUUGUGACAUCAAACAAAAUGUAUAGCUAGAAAAGAGAAUGUGAUCAGCAGAAAUGACUGGUAAGUAAACAGAAUGAACAAACAGGUACUAGCAAUAGGCCAAGCUAGUUCUGCAGCAUUAACAGAAAUUGCUCCUGCAGCAGCACAGUAGAUGUUAGUAAAUCCUCUUUUUAGAAUGCCACAUAGUGGCUAUAUUCAGCCAAUUAAAGAUGAAUAUAAAGCUGUGCUUGGAAAACUAGGCUGACAAAUUUAGAGAAGCUCAAAAAUGGACUCGGUUAUGAGGAUAUGGACAAUUUAAAGGGGUCUCCAUUGCUUCAACUAUAAAGUGAGAGGUUUAAAUUAGGUGUUCUAGAUUUUUUUCCAGUUCUAAAAUCCUGAUCCUUUGAACUGAUAGGGAAGAAUGGGUGAGUUUUGGAAUUUUAUGAACAAUAAUUCCUCCCGGAAACUGCAUUUGUACCCUUCCAGCCACUACUCCAGCCACAUGGUUCCCACACAAGUCGAGAUCUCGGCUACAAUUGAUUUCUUUAGGGGUGGACACCUGACUUACCUUGGCCAGGUAAGAACCUUUCCCCAGGAAUUUGAGAUGAGUUGUGAGAAAGAUGGCACAUGUAAAAUGGGGAGCUAACCAUAUCUGAUUUGCAUUGAGCUGUUAUUUUAAAAAAUGAGGCCUAGAAUGAAGACAAAGCAGAGGUGAAGAUGGAGAAAUCUACAUUUUCCAAAGUGCUUCAGGACCUGGCUCCAAUCUUCUGGUCUUUCUUGAGCCCAGCCGCUGCAUGCAUGGGUGGCCGUCAUCCGGAUUCUCCUGCAGGCAACCUCACAGGCUGGGAUAAGCAGCCAACCCAGUCCCCAUACACAUUAAGGCUACCUUUGGGACUCAGUGUGGGAGGGCAGAAGAAACAGCCAGCCCCAUCCCUACAAGUCUGCAGCCCACCAUCACCUUCAAGGCCCUGUAGCCUGCACAGCACAAGAGAACCAGCCAGUAAUGCAUUGGAGAAGCCCACCCUGCUCCCCACCCUUCCCUGGGUUAGGAGAAACCCAGGUGCCUGAUCCACCCUCCUACACUGUGGAUGAGUAGCCAAAAUGGGAAGUGCCUAAGACUCCACAACCUGCUCCUCUGGAGGAACCCAGGAAAAUGUCGAGACAAAGGAGCAAAAGGCAAUCUCAGACCUCCAGCCCAAACAGAACAAGUCCAGGAAGCAUGGACAUAAAAGAAACAGGAGGUUGUACACCUGAAAUUUCUGGGAUGAUGGCAAUUGAAAUAAAGAAAGUACUUCAUGAGACUGUAAAAGAAAUCAGAACAGGGGCUGGAGAUUUAGCUCAGUGGCACAAGUGCCUGCCUUGCAAGCAGGCAGUCGUGGGUUCGAUCCCCGGUACCGAUAAAAAGAAAAAAGACAAAAAAAAAAAAAAAAAAAAUCAGAACAGAAAUAAUAUCUCAGGUAAAAGAAGUGACGAACAUAAUAAAAGGGUUGCUGAGUGUAUCUAAAGAAGACAUAGAUUAAACAAAAGAGGAGCAUAGGAGAAUGACAGAAACCUUUGAUGAACACUAUAGAGAAGAACUGGAAUGCAUGAAACAGAUUCCAAGAGAUAUCCAAGAAAUUAAAAACUCCACUGAAGGCUGCAAAACCACUUGAAAGAAAUAUGAAGAUAAAUGUUCAGACCUUGAAGAUAAUUUGGCAGCUAGUGAUCGCAAAAGGAACGCUUUUUUUUUGAAAGAUCUCUUAAAAAUAACAAGGAACCAGGAAAUAACAAUUCAACAGCUGCAAGAUGACACAAAGAGUCAACAUAUAUGACACAGGACUAUUUAUAAAAGGAAUAGCAGAGAACUUUCCACACAUGAGCAAAGGACCUGACACGCAGUUAAGUGAGACAUGUAGAACUCCAACUAGCCAUAACCAAAAUAAAUCUACACCCAGACAAACAAUAAUCAAAAUCCCAGAAAUUCAGCCCCAAAACAGAAUAUUAAAGGCUGUUAGAGAAAAAAAAACAGAUUACCUAUAAAGGAAAGACCAUCAGAAUCAUGACAGACUUCUCAACCCAAACCAUCAACUCAAGAAAAGAUUGGAGUAAAGUAUUUAUUGUCCGUCACCCACAGACUGCAUAAGAAAGAUAAAACAUUUUUAUACAAUGGAAAGCUACUCACUAGAAAGAAGGAUAACCACAAAGCUCUUGCAGGUAAAUGGAGGCAACUUGCAAUCAUGCUCUUGGGUGAAAUGGUUCAGACUCACAUAAGUGAACAUCAUGUUACCUCUUUAGUAUAAAAAAACUGAAGGAGUUAGUGGGAUCCAAAAUGUACAACAGAUAUUGUGAAAAUGAAAGUCUAAAAAAGGAGGAAAUGUCUAAAAAGGGAAGGUGGUAGCCAUUGUUAAUGCCCUAUUAUCUGGUAUUAAAGUCCUGUAUCAUUUUCCUUGCCUUGUUUUGAUUGGUUUUAUUCUGUUUUGUUUGGCUUGAUUUUAUUAUAUUUGAUGGUAUGGGCAUUUAUUUUGAAGAUAAUAAGGUAUAUUAUGGUAGUCAUUGUUGAUUUCCUAUUAAUCUUGUUUUGAAGUCCUGUAUCACUUUCACUGUUUUGUUUUGACUGUCUUUAUUCAGUUUUAUUUUAUUUGGUUUUAGUCUCUUAAAAAUAAAUACAAAAAAGCUGG